Harpia harpyja (harpy eagle) is the source of this 1796-nucleotide long non-coding RNA. RefSeq lists it as uncharacterized. The record is from RefSeq and is a predicted model, not a curated record. The transcript has 4 exons. Lineage: Eukaryota; Metazoa; Chordata; Aves; Accipitriformes; Accipitridae.
UGGGCUGUCCGCCACAGCCUUCAAGGAAAAGAGGUUUGCAUUACUACCUGCCUCAGUGACAUAAUUUCCGGCUUUUACUGUGAUCUGGGCUGGUUUUCGUCUGAUGAACUUUUUUUUCCUAGUUAUAUUCCCUGGAAGGGUUUCUUCUUGGUUUAUGCUUUGUAAUGGGGAGAGGAUACGACGGUAGCAGCAACGAUGAUGUGUUCAGGCGGUCUUUGUGUUAUUUUUGUCUCUUUGUUCAGCGAUGUCAAGGAAGAGCUGAGGGGGGUACAGCAGAUCUGUUCCUGUGAGCUUGGUACUGAUGCAGCGUAAGUUGUGUGGAUGAUGAAAGUACGGGGGAGGAGAUCGGGCGUGUUGGUAGAACCGGCCUUAGGUGCAUCAGUCAGGACCUUCUCUCGGCCAAGCAAACAGGAGAAUAGCUACCAUGCUUGGCAUUAGAUGCCUGUGGGGAGAAGGGUUUUUUUGAUGACUUCACUACUAGGUCUGUCCUGACAGCGUUUCAUGUACGUGAGAGAUGAGAAAAAGGCCUUUCAUAGCAAACUCGGAGUGAAAUAAAAAGGAGCCUUUCAUACUCUUUGAUGUGAAAGUGCUUGAGAGCCAGGAGAAGCCUAGGGCUGAGUUCGCUCUUGCUUCCCUUUGUUUUUUUGCAUUUGCCAUGUUGUUCCCUUGCUACCUGUAACGCUCAUGUUACUAGAGGAGUGACAUUCAGGUCCCCUGCAUCAGUGCCUAUAUGAUGGAAACUUACCCAAAUGUAUCAUUUCCACCAGCCAUGCAAGAGGUCACGUAAUCACGUUGCCUCCAAAGUGGUUUGGGUUGUGCUGGUGAGGGCUUCCUGCCAGCAGGACUCUCGCACCAGCAAUCAAAACCUGGAGGUUCAGCAUGUCUCAGGGCAGAAAUCUUAGCCCAGGCCUAGGGUUACAGUUAGGGCUAGGACUAGGGUGAGGAGAGUGAGAAGUAGGAAACCUAUAGGCACUAGAUCGGUGCCUAGGCAUGGUUCCUUCUAGCGUCAUAGCUUGCUGUUGUGCCCUUUUUUUCCCCCCCUUGUGAUGCCACGAUCUGCACAUAACUGUUCCACUCACAACCCCUCUGCCUGGAGCGUGGCUGCCAAAAGGAAUCUGGAAGAGAAGGAAAAUUGAGUCAAUUUUCUGCUCUGCUUGAGGCUUGGCAGGUCGGCUUCAUGCUGUAACACUGACGCUCUUGACCGCCACUGUUUAGCUCCUCUCAUAGCGGGUAGAAAAGGGAGUGUGAAGUCAGGACUCCUGGGCUCCCUUUUUUACAUUGAAACAGACAGUAAGCUCCUGGUACCUUGUUCUGAUCACUCCUAAUCACCUUAAACUUCAUCCCCUCCUUUUAGAGCCUAACAUGGGUAGAGGUAGCUGCGUGGGGAGAAAACUGAGUGGCUGCUGAAAGUCUCUUGUUUGGGCUACUGGGAAGUUGGACAUUUUCUUCUGCUGGAGCUGAUGUGCCAAAGUGUAAAUUUCUUCUCAGGUGUGGUCUGGCUCAACAUGAGUCCUAAAAGAAGCCAUGACAAAACAAGGGAAGAAAGAUGAAAAGGUCAGCCUGCUUCAGUCAGAGCACCAGGACUGUGUUAGAUGGGAAGGAAGAAUGAAUUCCAGGAGGAAUCUCCACUGAUCAUGCCUCUUCCUGGCCUCUAGACAUUCAAACCUACAACGAAGAACUUCAUAGCUGAUUUUGACAAUUAAGCAAAAAGAGUGAUGGACUUUCUCAGUGUCCCUUCAGCUUUUGGUAGAGACGAUCACAGCUGAAUCUAAGAUGGAGGUAAGGCUUAGUUUUCC